This 63-nucleotide transfer RNA is filed under the name Fredericella sp. 1 HH-2013. RNAcentral describes it as "tRNA-Arg". The record is from RNAcentral. Lineage: Eukaryota; Metazoa; Bryozoa; Phylactolaemata; Fredericellidae.
GAUGUAAAGCAACUUUCUGCAUCUGGUUUCGACCCAGAAGAGGCCCUUUACAGGCUACAUCUU